ACAGCAGGACGGUGGUCAUGGAAGUCGAAAUCCGCUAAGGAGUGUGUAACAAUUCACCUGCCGAAUGAACUAGCCCUGAAAAUGGAUGGCGCUAAAGCGUGCGACUUAUACUCAGCCAUCAGCGCGAGACGUAUGUGCUGAUGAGUAGGAGGGCGUGAUGCUCGUAUCGAAGCCUUGGGCGUGAGCCUGGGUGAAACGUGCAUUAGUGCAGAUCUUGGUGGUAGUAGCAACUAUUCAAAUGAGAACUUUGAAGACUGAAGCGGAGAAAGGUUCCAUGUGAACAGCAAUUGGACAUGGGUUAGUCGAUCCUAAGGCUCAGAGUAACUCCGUUAUAAGGCGGGCUUUUUUCGGAAAGCCCCGGUGGCCGAAAGGGAAGAAGGUUAAAAUUCCUUCACCUGGACGUGGAUAACGAGUGGUAACACAAGCAAAACUGGAGACGUCGGCUGGAGUCCCGGGAAGAGUUCUCUUUUCUUGUUAACAGUUCCGCAGGCCCUGGAAUCGGAUUAUCCGGCGAUAGGGUCUGGUGGCUGGGAAAGCAGCUUAAUCUUUGAGCUGUCCGGUGCUCUCCAGACGGCCCUUGAAAAUCCGGUGGCGUGACUUAUUUACACCCCAGGUCGUACUCAUAACCGCAUCAGGUCUCCAAGGUGAGUAGCCUCUAGUCGAUAGAGUAAUGUGGAUAAGGGAAGUCGGCAAAAUAGAUCCGUAACCUCGGGAAAAGGAUUGGCUCUGAGGAUUGGGCUUGGGAGUCCUUUGGAAGACCUUGUUGUGGCUGGGUGAGACUGCGGCUCACGCUGCGGACUUGCCCGGUAGCUCUGGCGAUUCCUUAGGAAUGUACUUGUACGUUUCCCAAUGCGUUGAACAAUCGCCUCAGAACUGGAACGGACAAGGGGAAUCCGACUGUUUAAUUAAAACAAAGCAUUGCGAAGGCCGGAGACGGUGUUGACGCAAUGUGAUUUCUG
RNAcentral lists this ribosomal RNA (959 nucleotides) under Asterionellopsis glacialis. RNAcentral describes it as "partial Eukaryotic large subunit ribosomal RNA". It matches the Rfam family "Eukaryotic large subunit ribosomal RNA", at positions 1237 to 2200 of the family's 3401-position model. The record is from RNAcentral. Lineage: Eukaryota; Bacillariophyta; Plagiogrammaphyceae; Rhaphoneidales; Asterionellopsidaceae.